CCCUUAGAUGUUCUGGGCCGCACGCGUGCUACACUGAGUGGAUCAGCGGGUCAGGUUGCGCGAAAGCGUUUCCUAAUCUUGAAAUCCGCUCGUGAUGGGGAUUGACGGUUGCAAUUUUCUGUCAUGAACGAGGAAUACCUUGUAAGCGCGAGUCAUCAUCCCGCGCUGAAUACGUCCCUGCCCUUUGUACACACCGCCCGUCGCUCCUACCGAUUGAGUGGUCCGGUGAGGCUCUGGGACCUGGACGGAAAGAGCGUUUCGCUUGUUCUGUUUGGGAAACUUGGUCGAACCUUAUCAUUUAGAGGAAGGAGAAGUCGUAACA
This 322-nucleotide ribosomal RNA is filed under the name uncultured eukaryote. Its description in RNAcentral is "partial 18S ribosomal RNA". It matches the Rfam family "Eukaryotic small subunit ribosomal RNA", at positions 1470 to 1796 of the family's 1831-position model. The record is from RNAcentral.